UUGAACGCUGGCGGCAUGCUUUACACAUGCAAGUCGAACGGUAACAGGCCUUCGGGUGCUGACGAGUGGCGAACGGGUGAGUAAUGCAUCGGAACGUGCCCAGAGGUGGGGGAUAACGCAGCGAAAGCUGUGCUAAUACCGCAUGUGAUCUGAGGAUGAAAGCGGGGGACCAGGCAGCAAUGUUUGGCCUCGCGCCUUUGGAGCGGCCGAUGUCAGAUUAGGUAGUUGGUGGGGUAAAGGCCUACCAAGCCGACGAUCUGUAGCUGGUCUGAGAGGACGAUCGGCCACACUGGGACUGAGACACGGCCCAGACUCCUACGGGAGGCAGCAGUAGGGAAUUUUGGACAAUGGGCGCAAGCCUGAUCCAGCAAUGCCGCGUGCGUGAAGAAGGCCUUCGGGUUGUAAACCGCUUUUGUACGGAACGAAAAGGUUCUGGCUAAUACCUGGGGCUGAUGACGGUACCGUAAGAAUAAGCACCGGCUAACUACGUG
This 491-nucleotide ribosomal RNA is filed under the name uncultured bacterium. RNAcentral describes it as "partial 16S ribosomal RNA". It matches the Rfam family "Bacterial small subunit ribosomal RNA", at positions 30 to 507 of the family's 1533-position model. The record is from RNAcentral.